This 273-nucleotide ribosomal RNA is filed under the name uncultured bacterium. Its description in RNAcentral is "partial 16S ribosomal RNA". It matches the Rfam family "Bacterial small subunit ribosomal RNA", at positions 336 to 626 of the family's 1533-position model. The record is from RNAcentral.
CGCCUACGGGACGCAGCAGUGGGGAAUAUUGCACAAUGGGGGAAACCCUGAUGCAGCGACGCCGCGUGAGUGAAGAAGUAUUUCGGUAUGUAAAGCUCUAUCAGCAGGGAAGAUAAUGACGGUACCUGACUAAGAAGCCCCGGCUAACUACGUGCCAGCAGCCGCGGUAAUACGUAGGGGGCAAGCGUUAUCCGGAUUUACUGGGUGUAAAGGGUGCGUAGGUGGCAGGGCAAGUCAGAUGUGAAAGCCCAGGGCUCAACCCCGGUACUGCAU